RNAcentral lists this non-coding RNA (23 nucleotides) under Arabidopsis thaliana (thale cress). The record is from RNAcentral. Lineage: Eukaryota; Viridiplantae; Streptophyta; Magnoliopsida; Brassicales; Brassicaceae.
AUCAUCGAUGAUGACAAGCGUUA